GGGCGCAUAGCUCAGCGGUAGAGCACUGGUUUUACACACCAGCGGUCGGGGGUUCGAACCCCUCUGCGCCCA
RNAcentral lists this transfer RNA (72 nucleotides) under Nocardia terpenica. RNAcentral's name for it is "tRNA-Val". It matches the Rfam family "tRNA". From Rfam's summary of the family: Transfer RNA (tRNA) molecules are approximately 80 nucleotides in length. Their secondary structure includes four short double-helical elements and three loops (D, anti-codon, and T loops). The record is from RNAcentral. Lineage: Bacteria; Bacillati; Actinomycetota; Actinomycetes; Mycobacteriales; Nocardiaceae.